This is a non-coding RNA of Meleagris gallopavo (turkey), 483 nucleotides long. The record is from RefSeq and is a predicted model, not a curated record. NCBI's taxonomy places the organism in Eukaryota, Metazoa, Chordata, Aves, Galliformes, Phasianidae.
AGCGAAGCGGAAGUGAAACGAAAGCGAAAGUAAAAAACAGCCCUGGUGGCCAUUUUGUUUCUCACCUCCUUCAGGGCCGGUGCACAAUGAACUUGCCUUCCAACCUCCCAUCUCCAAUCAUCCCGCCCCGGAAUAUUGGUGUUCCAUUGCUUAUUUUGAGAUGGACGUUCAGGUUGGAGAGACGUUUAAGGUCCCUUCCAGUUGUCCCGUGGUUACGGUGGACGGUUACGUGGAUCCUUCAGGGGGGGAUCGGUUCUGUUUGGGCCAACUUUCCAAUGUUCAUCGGACCGAAGCCAUCGAGAGAGCGCGGUUGCACAUCGGGAAAGGGGUGCAGCUGGAGUGCAAAGGGGAAGGGGACGUGUGGGUGAGGUGCCUGAGCGAUCACGCCGUGUUCGUGCAAAGUUAUUACCUGGACAGGGAAGCGGGCCGGGCACCGGGAGACGCCGUGCACAAGAUUUAUCCCAGCGCCUACAUUAAGGUGGG